GCUUAACACAUGCAAGUCGAGCGCCCCGCAAGGGGAGCGGCAGACGGGUGAGUAACGCGUGGGAACGUACCCUUUACUACGGAAUAACGCAGGGAAACUUGUGCUAAUACCGUAUGUGCCCUUCGGGGGAAAGAUUUAUCGGUAAGGGAUCGGCCCGCGUUGGAUUAGCUAGUUGGUGGGGUAAAGGCCUACCAAGGCGACGAUCCAUAGCUGGUCUGAGAGGAUGAUCAGCCACAUUGGGACUGAGACACGGCCCAAACUCCUACGGGAGGCAGCAGUGGGGAAUAUUGGACAAUGGGCGCAAGCCUGAUCCAGCCAUGCCGCGUGAGUGAUGAAGGCCCUAGGGUUGUAAAGCUCUUUCACCGGAGAAGAUAAUGACGGUAUCCGGAGAAGAAGCCCCGGCUAACUUCGUGCCAGCCGCCGCGGUAAUUC
This 432-nucleotide ribosomal RNA is filed under the name uncultured bacterium. RNAcentral describes it as "bacterial SSU rRNA". It matches the Rfam family "Bacterial small subunit ribosomal RNA", at positions 46 to 526 of the family's 1533-position model. The record is from RNAcentral.